GCAUACUUCUUUGAACACUUUUCACAUUUAUACUUCUUCUCACCAUGUUUUCUAAAGUAAUGUUUCUUGAUUCCAGUUAAAUCUCCAAGAGCUCGAGAAGGAUCAUGAUGAACACAGGAUGUCUCAGGGCAAAGUUGUUGUUCUUUCAUCUCCGGUUCUUCUCUCAUUCCAUUGUAAGCCGAAGCUGAUGAAGAGGAUGCCGCCAUAGGUCUUGGUUUUUCUAUCUUUGUAUCUAUACGUAUAACCUAGCUAGCUAUAUAUAUAUAUAUAUAUAUAAAUCUAGCUCUCAGUUUCUCUCUCCUUUCUGUUGCUAAGAGCAACUUUUUGAUGAGAGUAAUCCUAUCUGGAAACCCACAUGCAAAUCGAAGGCCUUAUGAGAUGAAAACUUAUCUCAAGAACUGAAAAAGUAGAUUGAUUUAAGCUCUUAGAUAUUUAUGAGACUGAAGAAAUGUGGAAAAGGUGAAUAUCUGGAAAAAGAAAACUGAAAUCAAGGUGAGAAAGGUAGAGAGGGAGAAUAGAAAGAGAAAAAGAGAGAUGGAAUUCUUUUCUUUUUUUUUUCUUCUGUAGUCAUCCCAUUUUCUCAAGUCAUACCUCAAAAAGAAAAUGUUCUUUUUAUAUUAUAUUUUGUUUUGGGGAUGAAGAAUCAAAUUUUGGACUAUUUCAAAUUGU
Long non-coding RNA from Impatiens glandulifera, 669 nucleotides. RefSeq lists it as uncharacterized. The transcript has 2 exons. The record is from RefSeq and is a predicted model, not a curated record. Lineage: Eukaryota; Viridiplantae; Streptophyta; Magnoliopsida; Ericales; Balsaminaceae.